Molecule: ribosomal RNA, 679 nt
Filed under: Firmicutes bacterium GUDS1121
Lineage: Bacteria; Bacillati; Bacillota
Description: bacterial SSU rRNA
Rfam family: Bacterial small subunit ribosomal RNA
Source: RNAcentral
AGUCGAACGCUUCCUACCGGUGCUUGCACCGGGAAAGAAGAGUGGCGGACGGGUGAGUAACACGUGGGUAACCUACCUACAAGCGGGGGAUAACAUUCGGAAACGGAUGCUAAUACCGCAUAGAUCUUUUUGUCUCCUGGCAGAAAGAAGAAAGACGGUUUCGGCUGUCACUUGUAGAUGGACCCGCGGCGCAUUAGUUAGUUGGUGAGGUAAUGGCUCACCAAGACGAUGAUGCGUAGCCGACCUGAGAGGGUGAUCGGCCACACUGGGACUGAGACACGGCCCAGACUCCUACGGGAGGCAGCAGUAGGGAAUCUUCCGCAAUGGACGAAAGUCUGACGGAGCAACGCCGCGUGAGUGAAGAAGGUUUUCGGAUCGUAAAACUCUGUUGUUAGAGAAGAACAAGGAUGAGAGUAACUGCUCGUCCCUUGACGGUAUCUAACCAGAAAGCCAUGGCUAACUACGUGCCAGCAGCCGCGGUAAUACGUAGAUGGCAAGCGUUGUCCGGAUUUAUUGGGCGUAAAGCGAGCGCAGGCGGUUCUUUAAGUCUGAUGUGAAAGCCCCUGGCUCAACCAGGGAGGGUCAUUGGAAACUGGAGAACUUGAGUGCAGAAGAGGAAAGUGGAAUUCCAUGUGUAGCGGUGAAAUGCGUAGAUAUAUGGAGGAACACCAGUGGCGAA